This 479-nucleotide ribosomal RNA is filed under the name uncultured Flavobacterium sp. Its description in RNAcentral is "bacterial SSU rRNA". It matches the Rfam family "Bacterial small subunit ribosomal RNA", at positions 46 to 526 of the family's 1533-position model. The record is from RNAcentral. Lineage: Bacteria; Pseudomonadati; Bacteroidota; Flavobacteriia; Flavobacteriales; Flavobacteriaceae.
GCUUAACACAUGCAAGUCGAGGGGUAUAGUUCUUCGGAGCUAGAGACCGGCGCACGGGUGCGUAACGCGUAUGCAAUCUACCUUAUACAGGGGAAUAGCCCAGAGAAAUUUGGAUUAAUGCCCCAUAGUGUUAUAGAAUCGCAUGGUUUUAUAACUAAAGUUCCAACGGUAUAAGAUGAGCAUGCAUCCCAUUAGUUAGUUGGUAAGGUAACGGCUUACCAAGGCGAUGAUGGGUAGGGGUCCUGAGAGGGAGAUCCCCCACACUGGUACUGAGACACGGACCAGACUCCUACGGGAGGCAGCAGUGAGGAAUAUUGGUCAAUGGGCGCAAGCCUGAACCAGCCAUGCCGCGUGCAGGAAGAAUCAUCUAUGGUGUGUAAACUGCUUUUAUACAGGAAGAAACCUCCCUACGAGUAGGGACUUGACGGUACUGCAGGAAUAAGGAUCGGCUAACUCCGUGCCAGCAGCCGCGGUAAUAC